UUUGCCAGUUGCCUGCCAACUUCUAUCCCUGGGUCUGUUCCUGGGAGGUUUCUAGGACACCUCAGCUCUUGUUCCCAGAUGCUCCAUGCCUCUCCCUGAGUCUCAGGGUGCUUCUAGCCUGAUGGAGAAGCUGGUUCUACCUUUGUCUGAUGGAGCAGGCACAGGCUCUGCCCUCAGGGAGCCCUCAGUCUGAGGGGAGACAGGACACAAGCCCGGCCUUCAGAGUGGCCAGUCAUGAUGGCAUCCCCCAUCAUGAUUUUAAUUUUUAGUCUUUACUUGUUCACGACUCUAUAUCUGUGUCUCUUCCUGGAACUUAAGAUCCGUGACAGCAGGGACUUCUAUCUGCCUCUCACAGCAUCUUCGGCACUUGUCUAGCACCAAGCAAGCAAUAUUUCCUGAAUGAAUGAAUGAAUGAAUGAACUGGGAAACAGCACCAGAUCUGAAAGCCCCACGUCAAGAGGCAGCAGUGGAUAAACUCUAAAGUCCUUCCGCAUUCCAGCCUGUGUGAUGUGGCCCUCCACCUUGCCGCCUCCCACCCCUCUGGCCACACUCUUCAGCCACCAGCCACUAUGAGCACUGGCUGCCCUGGUGUCAGCCCCAGUUCCCACCUCCACCCCUUUCCUCACCGCACUCCCUCUUCCUGCAACUGCCUUUGCUCCCAUUGCCACAUGACUAAAUCCUGCCAGUCCUUCAAGGCCCUACGCAGAGUCACCUCCAGGAAGCCCACUCAGAUCCCUCCACUGGAUCUAAACGUCCAUAGCUUUUUCUCUGGGCCUCUUCUCUCACUGUGUCUGCAUAGGCCUGCUGGGGUCAUGGCUUCUCUCCCUUUUAUGCCAUAAGGCCCUGAGGGCCAGGAUUGCCUGCAGUUGCCCUGGAGGCCGGUACCUUGUGGUGGCUCCAUUGGAGGAAGUGUGAGCUGCUCAGUAGGCAGGUGGUCGUGUGUGCUCCUCUUUGCCCCAGCUUCUGGAAGCGCUGGCAGCCUUGGGUCUGCACAAACUGGCUACAAACACAUAUGACUGCAUCUCACUCCAGUCCACAGCCAUGCCAAGGAGGAGGAUGCUACUCCCUGGGGCCCGCCUGCAGAGAGCCCCACGAGAUCUUCCUUGAGGAUUUGUUUUCUACCUUGAACUUUCACAGGCAUUUUACUUCCUACCCCAUGCUAUGUCCUUGUAUGUUUUAGUAUCAAAAUAAUGCUUUCCAUCACUUACCAUUGGAAAAAAACGGACACUCGAAGAGAUAAGGCAAAUUAUCAGGCCUGAGCUGUUCUUGCCCCUCUUCCUGGGUUUGGAAAGAGUGCAGAACCAGGAGCGAUAGGCCUGGGCCCAGGCUUGGCCCUGCAGACGAUGAUGGCUAAGUCAUCCAUAGAAUGGGCUGGUGAGCCUGCCGUGCCUUGCCUUAGGACAGUGGCCACCACUAAAUGGAGCAGUGGGUGUGAAGACUAAUGAUUCACACAUGGAACUUGAGGUGUCGGCUGGCUGUCUGGGGGCUGGGCCCCUCUCCAGGCCCCUCUGAGACUGGAGAAGCUGGAGGGAGCCUGAGGCCGACACCCCCAGCAUGGCCGCCACCCAGAUUCCCCCGAGCAGGCCGGGGACUGGGGGUCCAGGCAGCAGCUGCCCCCUCCCAGGCUAGAGGAAAGGGUGAGCUCACCCCCUGGCCCAGGCAGAGUGAGGGGGGUAGGAGACAUAAUUAAAAUGCCAGAGGUUAGGAGGUGAAGUUACAAUGGAAAGAAUGAAGCCCCAGCCCUGCUGCCGCUGCUUCUCCCACCCCGCUCCCUUUGCCAAGCCCACAUUUGAUUUUUAUUUCGGGAGCCGCCAGCACAGCACUUGGGAGGGAGUGGAGAAACCUCACUCCGGCUUGCCUUGCCAAGUCUGGAGCUGGGGCCACAGAGUGGGGAGGGGGCUCCUGGGACCCAGAGGAAGAGCCCAGAGGCCCCCACCCCAGGACCCAACGUCCUCAGGGAUCAGGUGCCAGGGAAGGGUGGCACUUGGGGCAGGGAGUGGGCUUGGGAGGCCAGGAAGAGAGACCUCGAAACAAUGAAGGCAUUCCUCGAUGUUUGCAUGAGGCUUUGCGCCUUCACUUUACUCUGGAGGCUGACCCCGGCCUCUUUCCCACUCCCAGCGCUAACUCCGCCUGCCCCCAACACUGGAGACUUUCAGUGCCCACUGGCAUGUGCAUAUUUGUGAAAGGGUUGCUGUGUGGCCCUGGGGAAGUUACUACCCCUCUCUGGACCUCAGUCUUCUCUCUGUGAAAUGGGCAGGUUGGCAAGAUUAGCAGGUUCAAACUGGGCUCUGCAAGGGUGUUGGAGGCCUGGGCCCUGCCCUCUCCUGGCCACCCUUUCCUGAGCACAUCUCUUAUCUGCCCCUUCUAGGGACUGGGGAGGUGGAGGCAGCGGUUGGCCCAUCCCCUGAGCCCCCGCCGCCCCCCUGCAGACGGGAGCUGCUGGGGCCAACUCACAUUUUCCUGCUCUCGGCUUUCUCCUCUGCCCAUAAUGCACUCCAGAUGGUCUCUCCAUCGGAGAGCCGAGGCAGCG
This 2530-nucleotide long non-coding RNA is filed under the name Homo sapiens (human). RNAcentral's name for it is "HSALNT0242337". The record is from RNAcentral. Lineage: Eukaryota; Metazoa; Chordata; Mammalia; Primates; Hominidae.